This 457-nucleotide ribosomal RNA is filed under the name uncultured bacterium. RNAcentral's name for it is "bacterial SSU rRNA". It matches the Rfam family "Bacterial small subunit ribosomal RNA", at positions 29 to 524 of the family's 1533-position model. The record is from RNAcentral.
AACGAACGCUGGCGGCAUGCCUAACACAUGCAAGUCGAACGGGAUCCUAGCUUGCUAGGUGAGAGUGGCGGACGGGUGAGUAACACGUGGGAAUCUGCCUUUUGGUUCGGGAUAACCGCGGGAAACUGCGGCUAAUACCGAAUGCCCUCGAGAGAGGAAAGAUUUAUCGCCAGAAGAGGAGCCCGCGUCCGAUUAGGUAGUUGGUGGGGUAAAGGCCUACCAAGCCGACGAUCGGUAGCUGGUCUGAGAGGAUGAUCAGCCUCACUGGGACUGAGAUACGGCCCAGACUCCUACGGGAGGCAGCAGUGGGGAAUAUUGGACAAUGGGGGCAACCCUGAUCCAGCAAUGCCGCGUGAGUGAUGAAGGCCUUAGGGUUGUAAAGCUCUUUUGCCAGGGAAGAUGAUGACUGUACCUGGAGAAUAAGCCCCGGCUAACUCGUGCCAGCAGCCGCGGUAAU